This 224-nucleotide long non-coding RNA is filed under the name Gossypium barbadense (sea-island cotton). RNAcentral describes it as "long non-coding RNA (GBAR_LNC018478)". Lineage: Eukaryota; Viridiplantae; Streptophyta; Magnoliopsida; Malvales; Malvaceae. The record is from RNAcentral.
GAGCAUAUGGUCAAUUAUACACAAAUCAUUCAUAUGUUCUUCCAAUUUUUCCUCCUCCUCCUCUCCAUUUCACAUCCUUAAUGUGUAUAACACACUUAAACAACAUUAACUACAAUAUCACUAUUCACUCACAUGUAUAUUCAAAGUUGUCUAUUCAAGUCAGAGUCACUAAAUUAUUUUUACCUAGAGCUAUAAAACUCCAAAUUAAGAUCCGUAAAUUUUCC